CCUACGGGUGGCAGCAGUGAGGAAUAUUGGUCAAUGGGCGAGAGCCUGAACCAGCCAAGUCGCGUGAGGGAAGACGGUCCUAUGGAUUGUAAACCUCUUUUGCCGGGGAGCAAAAAGCGGUACGUGUACCGCAUCGAGAGUACCCGGAGAAAAAGCAUCGGCUAACUCCGUGCCAGCAGCCGCGGUAAUACGGAGGAUGCGAGCGUUAUCCGGAUUUAUUGGGUUUAAAGGGUGCGUAGGCGGGCUGUUAAGUCAGCGGUCAAAUGUCGGGGCUCAACCCCGGCCUGCCGUUGAAACUGGCGGCCUCGAGUGGGCGAGAAGUAUGCGGAAUGCGUGGUGUAGCGGUGAAAUGCAUAGAUAUCACGCAGAACUCCGAUUGCGAAGGCAGCAUACCGGCGCCCGACUGACGCUGAGGCACGAAAGCGUGGGUAUCGAACAGGAUUAGAUACCCUUGUAGUC
RNAcentral lists this ribosomal RNA (459 nucleotides) under uncultured bacterium. Its description in RNAcentral is "partial 16S ribosomal RNA". It matches the Rfam family "Bacterial small subunit ribosomal RNA", at positions 338 to 795 of the family's 1533-position model. The record is from RNAcentral.